Non-coding RNA from Microcebus murinus (gray mouse lemur), 194 nucleotides. NCBI's taxonomy places the organism in Eukaryota, Metazoa, Chordata, Mammalia, Primates, Cheirogaleidae. The record is from RefSeq and is a predicted model, not a curated record.
AAGGAGAAUAAAAAGAUCGAACAAAGAGAAAUCAUUUAAGCUAACACAAGACGACAGCAAGUGUUAGAAUGGACGGGAGAAAACAGAUGCAUUAUCAGAGCGGGAAAUUGCAGAGACUGUGUUGUGAAUUAAUAUAGAAGAAUAUUAAGAGCUCACAUGGAAUUUAGAUGAGGUAAAAAAUCAUGAAGAUCAUG